Molecule: ribosomal RNA, 492 nt
Filed under: uncultured bacterium
Lineage: Bacteria
Description: partial 16S ribosomal RNA
Rfam family: Bacterial small subunit ribosomal RNA
Source: RNAcentral
AGUGAACGCUGGCGGUAGGCCUAACACAUGCAAGUCGAACGGCAGCACAGUAAGAGCUUGCUCUUACGGGUGGCGAGUGGCGGACGGGUGAGGAAUACAUCGGAAUCUACUUUUUCGUGGGGGAUAACGUAGGGACACUUACGCUAAUACCGCAUACGAUCUACGGGUGAAAGCAGGGGAUCUUCGGACUUUGCGCGAUUGAAUGAGCCGAUGUCGGAUUAGCUAGUUGGCGGGGUAAAGGCCCACCAAGGCGACGAUCCGUAGCUGGUCUGAGAGGAUGAUCAGCCACACUGGAACUGAGACACGGUCCAGACUCCUACGGGAGGCAGCAGUGGGGAAUAUUGGACAAUGGGCGCAAGCCUGAUCCAGCCAUGCUGCGUGGGUGAAGAAGGCCUUCGGGUUGUAAAGCCCUUUUGUUGGGAAAGAAAAGCAGCAGGUUAAUACCCCGCUGUUCUGACGGUACCCAAAGAAUAAGCACCGGCUAACUUCGUG